GGGUGAUUAGCUCAGCUGGGAGAGCAGCUCCCUUACAAGGAGGGGGUCGGCGGUUCGAUCCCGUCAUCACCCACCA
This 76-nucleotide transfer RNA is filed under the name Escherichia coli. Its description in RNAcentral is "tRNA-Val". It matches the Rfam family "tRNA". From Rfam's summary of the family: Transfer RNA (tRNA) molecules are approximately 80 nucleotides in length. Their secondary structure includes four short double-helical elements and three loops (D, anti-codon, and T loops). RNAcentral also lists the same sequence under 5 other names. Lineage: Bacteria; Pseudomonadati; Pseudomonadota; Gammaproteobacteria; Enterobacterales; Enterobacteriaceae. The record is from RNAcentral.